CCUACGGGGGACAGCAGUGAGGAAUAUUGGUCAAUGGGCGGGAGCCUGAACCAGCCAAGUCGCGUGAGGGAAGACGGUCCUAUGGAUUGUAAACCGCUGUAGGCGGGGAGCAAGGCCGGGCACGUGUGCCCGGAGGGAGAGGACCCGCAGAAUAAGCAGCGGCCAACCCCGUGCCAGCAGCAGCGGUAAUACGGAGGAUGCGAGCGGUACCCGGAUUGAUUGGGUUUAAAGGGUGCGUAGGCGGAUUUUUAAGUCAGCGGUAAAAUGUCCGGGCUCAACCCGGGCCGGCCGUUGAAACUGGGGUUCUUGAGUGGGCUAGAGGUAUGCGGAAUGCGUGGUGUAGCGGUGAAAUGCAUAGAUAUCACGCAGAACUCCGAUUGCGAAGGCAGCAUACCGGCGCCCGACUGACGCUGAGGCACGAAAGCGUGGGGAUCGAACAGGAUUAGAUACCCGGGUAGUC
RNAcentral lists this ribosomal RNA (460 nucleotides) under uncultured bacterium. RNAcentral describes it as "partial 16S ribosomal RNA". It matches the Rfam family "Bacterial small subunit ribosomal RNA", at positions 338 to 795 of the family's 1533-position model. The record is from RNAcentral.